AAACCCGAAAGUUCGAAUGGGGAGAUUCAUCUGCAAUGACGCUGGCUUCGCUGUGGCUUUGGCGAUGCAGGGUACUUCGGUACCAUGGCACGUCGUCGCGGUGUUAUGUCCGGUGUCGUCGUGGUGCACUUCUCCCCUAGUAGGACGUCGCGACCCGUUGGGUGUCGGACUACGGCCCGGGUGGUUGCCCGUUGCGGCGAUUUAUCGCCAUGACAGACCCCCGGUGUCUUCCCGUCCGACUGCUCGGCGGUAUUGAUGCGAUGGUAUUCGGCCGCAAUCUAUUCGAACGAAAUGCGUUAUAGGCUCGUCGCAAGCGCGGUCAGUGUCCCGUGUGGUACGGACGUAGUGCCGUCCCCGGGCCUGACCAGCUGUUGGCUGACGGUGUCCUCUGACUGGCCGCUUACUUGUUUGCGACGCUUUUGCUUUGGGUACUCUCAGGACCCGUCUUGAAACACGGACCAAGGAGUCUAACAUGUGCGCGAGUCAUUGGGAUAACAAAACCUAAAGGCGAAAUGAAAGUGAAUGUCGACCUUGCGUCGACAGAGGGAGGAUGGGUUGCGCAAAGCAGCCUCGCACUCCCGGGGCGUCUCGUUCUCAUUGCGAGA
Molecule: ribosomal RNA, 605 nt
Filed under: Aporus planiceps
Lineage: Eukaryota; Metazoa; Arthropoda; Insecta; Hymenoptera; Pompilidae
Description: eukaryotic LSU rRNA
Rfam family: Eukaryotic large subunit ribosomal RNA
Source: RNAcentral